Molecule: ribosomal RNA, 503 nt
Filed under: Flavobacterium sp.
Lineage: Bacteria; Pseudomonadati; Bacteroidota; Flavobacteriia; Flavobacteriales; Flavobacteriaceae
Description: bacterial SSU rRNA
Rfam family: Bacterial small subunit ribosomal RNA
Source: RNAcentral
GUCGAGGGGUAUAUGUCUUCGGAUAUAGAGACCGGCGCACGGGUGCGUAACGCGUAUGCAAUCUGCCUUUCACAGAGGGAUAGCCCAGAGAAAUUUGGAUUAAUACCUCAUAGCAUUAUAGGAUGGCAUCAUUUUAUAAUUAAAGUCACAACGGUGAAAGAUGAGCAUGCGUCCCAUUAGCUAGUUGGUAAGGUAACGGCUUACCAAGGCAACGAUGGGUAGGGGUCCUGAGAGGGAGAUCCCCCACACUGGUACUGAGACACGGACCAGACUCCUACGGGAGGCAGCAGUGAGGAAUAUUGGUCAAUGGGCGCAAGCCUGAACCAGCCAUGCCGCGUGCAGGAUGACGGUCCUAUGGAUUGUAAACUGCUUUUGUACGGGAAGAAACACUCCUUCGUGAAGGAGCUUGACGGUACCGUAAGAAUAAGGAUCGGCUAACUCCGUGCCAGCAGCCGCGGUAAUACGGAGGAUCCAAGCGUUAUCCGGAAUCAUUGGGUUUAAAG